GGAAAUAUCUGACUUGUUUUUCAUGAAGCUUUCUUUCCAUGAAAUAGAAGCGAUAAAGGAUCACAUGGGUACACUGUACAAGUGAGUUGUGCUUCUCCUGUAGCAUCACCUCCUGGCACCACAGAGGAUCUCAGCAGUUCUGCAGCAUUCAGUGUUCGUGCAUCUGACAGGCCAGCAGUACUCAGCUAACCAAGAUGUCAACACUGUGGAGUUGUAGAUCAUAUUUGAUAAUCUAGAAGGAUACACUGCUGCCAUGGUAGUUUUCCAUAUGUGCACGCACACCUGCAUCCUCAAAUCUAAUCACAGAAGAAGGAGUUAAUGGGUGCGACUGGCUGCAUGAACUCUCCAGCCUCUCCCAGGACUUCCCAAUAAGCAGAUGAUUUUUUGCAUCUCUGUGCCUGCAAUAAAGAGAAGGGCAAUAAGAAAAUAAGAUAAUGAAAACUGAGACUCUCAUUUGAGGAGUUGGAGAAAUAUUAUCGUCAUGAAAAAAAUAGGAAGAGUGGAGGAACUGGCAACAUUAAUUUUGCACAUGUUUCAGGAUUUUUGGCAAUCACAUACUCACCCACUGUGAAGAAAAGCUUUCUAGCUGACCAGAAUGCAUCUUCAACUCAAUAUAGCAACUGGGGCUUCAGUCUUUCUGAAAGUAGUUCUUCCUAUUUAUUUCCAUGGGAACUACAACAAAUAGAAAUAUAACAAUAAGAGUAUUUGAUGGAGCAAAUUCUCAGUUACGAAACACUGUUUUUCAGUAUAGUAACCACCAUUAGCUAUGCACUUUUGCCAGCUAUUGCACUUUCACCAGCAAUGAAAAAGAGCCUGCAUGCCAUGCUCGUUAAAAUCUGCAUGGCUAUCCAGAACUGGGCUUGUCUUUCACGUUGCUGCUGCCACUGCUGAAAUGCACCACUCACCACCUCACUGUGCUCACAUCCAUGUUUUGGUUUCCAUAAAUGUUCAGCAAGCAUGGAUGAAUGUCAAUGGGUGCAAUUUUUUUUUCCGCAUAGAGGAAUACCAUGCCACACCUUUACUUCAUA
Lagopus leucura (white-tailed ptarmigan) is the source of this 1028-nucleotide long non-coding RNA. RefSeq lists it as uncharacterized. The transcript is spliced from 5 exons. The record is from RefSeq and is a predicted model, not a curated record. Lineage: Eukaryota; Metazoa; Chordata; Aves; Galliformes; Phasianidae.